Monodelphis domestica (gray short-tailed opossum) is the source of this 1378-nucleotide non-coding RNA. Lineage: Eukaryota; Metazoa; Chordata; Mammalia; Didelphimorphia; Didelphidae. The record is from RefSeq and is a predicted model, not a curated record.
CUGAGGCCACACAGAACACUUCUAAUUCCUCUUCCACAUAAGAGUCUAGAAAAUUGCUAUCAGGCCUCUCCCCAAUGCUUUUAUUCCUUUUUCUAAUAUGUAGUUCCCAUAAUUGAUCUUCAGAGACUCCAGACCCCUUCACCAAUCUGGCUGAACACUCCCCAGUUCACUGUUGCCCAUUGUAAAUUGUGUUAUCUAGAACCAAAUACAAUAAUCCAAGUGCCAUCUUAUAGUACAGAAGGACAGCUAUAUCCUUAUUCUUGGAAGUAGAUAUGCAUCACUUAAGACAGCAUUAGUUGUUGGGGUAGUUGUGUAGCUCAGUGUAUUGAGAGCCAGGCCUAGAGAUCAGAGGUUCUGGGAUCAAAUCUGACCUCAAAUAAUUCCUCCCUAUAUGACCCUGGGACACUCACUUAACCUCCAUUGCAUAGUAUUGAUCCUAAGUCUGAUAGGUAAGGGUUAAAAUUAUUUUGCAUUAUGUUUUUUCAACUGCCUGUUACCGUUAAAAAUGAUAAUAAAUUUGUUGAUCUCUCAAUCAUACCCAAGGUCUCAUUAUGCAAUCUAACAUGGCAUUAAAAGUCUAUCUCCAAUGUCCCCCUUUUAAAUUAACCAUCCCCCAUGAAUUCAACUUUUUUAAAUGGAAUGGGAACCAGUCAGUCACUGCCCCAUCAAGGCCAAUGCUUUUUGGUAAUUUGGACGUUUUAUAUUCAAGGAUAGGACCUGAUAUCAAUCCCCAGUAACAUUCAUCUUACAACAUUCCAUCUACAGUGCUAGCUUCCUGAGCUACUUCUAUAUCCUAUCAGCUUUUACCAUCCCUAUCCUCCCAAUUUUUUCUUUCUUUCUAUUUUCCUUCCAGUUUCAAAAUUAUGCUUUCUGCUUGCCUGUAGGAUUAGUAGAAUAUUAGUGGUAAUCAUUUACAAAGCUCUUUACAUAUAUUAUUUCAUUUUAUCCAAGUCACUCAUAGGAACAUUGAACAGAAAGAGUUCAAGAACAGAAACUUCAGAAGAUUUGUCUGAACUGAUGCAGAAUGAAAAUUUCCCUGCCAAAGGGGAUCAAGGCCAGCCCCAUUGCAUGAACAUAGCUUAUACUCCAACCAAGACUGGAAACAUUCUGUGGGUCCACAACACCAAGGGAAAUGGACUGAAGUAAAGAUUAUGGGGCAGUCAUUGAACCUGCAGUCCUAGAAGUUGAGAGACAAAGAAGGUUGAUGUCACUGGGACAGAAGAGAAUAAUACAAUAUCAAUAACAAGGAUGAUGACAACAACUCACAUUUUUUUGUGCUUACCAUGUAAUGUUAGGAUAAUUUUAUCAUUUUGACUUAAAAUCUAAAUUAAUUUUGUCACCAGGGAAAAUCCCAUAUAAUAAAAUACCAAAGAAAUUA